CAAGUCGAGGGGCAGCAUGGUCUUAGCUUGCUAAGGCCGAUGGCGACCGGCGCACGGGUGAGUAACACGUACCCAACCUGCCGUCUACUCUUGGACAGCCUUCUGAAAGGAAGAUUAAUACAAGAUGGCAUCAUGAGUCCGCAUGUUCACAUGAUUAAAGGUAUUCCGGUAGACGAUGGGGAUGCGUUCCAUUAGAUAGUAGGCGGGGUAACGGCCCACCUAGUCUUCGAUGGAUAGGGGUUCUGAGAGGAAGGUCCCCCACAUUGGAACUGAGACACGGUCCAAACUCCUACGGGAGGCAGCAGUGAGGAAUAUUGGUCAAUGGGCGAGAGCCUGAACCAGCCAAGUAGCGUGAAGGAUGACUGCCCUAUGGGUUGUAAACUUCUUUUAUAAAGGAAUAAAGUCGGGUAUGGAUACCCGUUUGCAUGUACUUUAUGAAUAAGGAUCGGCUAACUCCGUGCCAGCAGCCGCGGUAAUACGGAGGAUCCGAGCGUUAUCCGGAUUUAUUGGGUUUAAAGGGAGCGUAGAUGGAUGUUUAAGUCAGUUGUGAAAGUUUGCGGCUCAACCGUAAAAUUGCAGUUGAUACUGGAUAUCUUGAGUGCAGUUGAGGCAGGCGGAAUUCGUGGUGUAGCGGUGAAAUGCUUAGAUAUCACGAAGAACUCCGAUUGCGAAGGCAGCCUGCUAAGCUGCAACUGACAUUGAGGCUCGAAAGUGUGGGUAUCAAACAGGAUUAGAUACCCUGGUAGUCCACACGGUAAACGAUGAAUACUCGCUGUUUGCGAUAUACUGCAAGCGGCCAAGCGAAAGCGUU
RNAcentral lists this ribosomal RNA (811 nucleotides) under uncultured bacterium. RNAcentral's name for it is "bacterial SSU rRNA". It matches the Rfam family "Bacterial small subunit ribosomal RNA", at positions 58 to 861 of the family's 1533-position model. The record is from RNAcentral.